This 433-nucleotide long non-coding RNA is filed under the name Sarcophilus harrisii (Tasmanian devil). RNAcentral's name for it is "lncRNA (ENSSHAG00000028857.1)". Lineage: Eukaryota; Metazoa; Chordata; Mammalia; Dasyuromorphia; Dasyuridae. The record is from RNAcentral.
AGCUCCUUUCCGUAGGGUCCGGGAGACUUAGCUCCGAGUCCAAAUCCGCCCUCGCACCUUUAGUGACGUGUUUUAAGACUGUCACUUAGCCGCGUUUGCCUCAUUUGUAAGGAAACCCUCCUUGGGAUCCCUAAAAGUGGGACUCGACUGGAAAACGGCUCAACCGCCGUAACAGCCACGAGGACGGGGGGAUAUAAAAGAUAGAGAGCUGCCCUUGGUCAGCAAUACCGGAGAUCUUGGUCCUGUAUCAGACUAGAAUGGAUGAGUGACCGUGUGACAAUCAGGCACCCAAGAGAACUCUCCAAGACUCCAAGACAAGUUGCUGAGAAGAUAAUGAUUUUCUGAGAAUUGAAGUCCUGGUACCAAAGAGUAAAUUGGCUUAAUUUGAAGAUCUUGCUCAGUUCUUCAUGGAAUUUUUCCAGCUCUUCAUCCC